Molecule: ribosomal RNA, 783 nt
Filed under: Mycobacterium avium subsp. paratuberculosis 10-4404
Lineage: Bacteria; Bacillati; Actinomycetota; Actinomycetes; Mycobacteriales; Mycobacteriaceae
Description: bacterial LSU rRNA
Rfam family: Bacterial large subunit ribosomal RNA
Source: RNAcentral
ACUUUGAAGCACAGACGCCAGUUUGUGUGGAGUCGUUGUUGAAAUACCACUCUGAUCGUAUUGGACACCUAACGUCGAACCCUUAUCGGGUUCACGGACAGUGCCUGGCGGGUAGUUUAACUGGGGCGGUUGCCUCCUAAAAUGUAACGGAGGCGCCCAAAGGUUCCCUCAACCUGGACGGCAAUCAGGUGGCGAGUGUAAGUGCACAAGGGAGCUUGACUGCGAGACUUACAAGUCAAGCAGGGACGAAAGUCGGGACUAGUGAUCCGGCACCCCCGAGUGGAAGGGGUGUCGCUCAACGGAUAAAAGGUACCCCGGGGAUAACAGGCUGAUCUUCCCCAAGAGUCCAUAUCGACGGGAUGGUUUGGCACCUCGAUGUCGGCUCGUCGCAUCCUGGGGCUGGAGCAGGUCCCAAGGGUUGGGCUGUUCGCCCAUUAAAGCGGCACGCGAGCUGGGUUUAGAACGUCGUGAGACAGUUCGGUCUCUAUCCGCCGCGCGCGUCAGAAACUUGAGGAAACCUGUCCCUAGUACGAGAGGACCGGGACGGACGAACCUCUGGUAUACCAGUUGUCCCACCAGGGGCACGGCUGGAUAGCCACGUUCGGACAGGAUAACCGCUGAAAGCAUCUAAGCGGGAAACCUUCUCCAAGAUCAGGUUUCUCACCCUUUUAGAGGGAUAAGGCCCCCCGCAGAUCACGGGAUUGAUAGGCCAGACCUGGAAGCUCAGUAAUGAGUGCAGGGAACUGGCACUAACCGGCCGAAAACUUACCAACACACAACUCG